UCGACGAAACGUGCCCAGUGCCCCGGUCGUCCCACUGGCGGUCUUCGUUAAGCGUAUAAACUUUCACUCGCCGCCGAGUGUCCGACAUUGUGAACAGGGGAAAGAAGAGGGGGGUCGGGAGCUAGCAGGCUGGGCUAGCUGUAUGCUAACAAGCUAAGCGAGGCGCCUCGGCGUUUCCUGCCUAGCCGGACAACUUUGCUGGCGCCCACAUGUUACACGGGACGUCGGAGCCGACAGUGAGGACAAAAAGUAACGACGGCGGCGGCGACUACUUCUUCAGCAUGCUCCCAGCCACAGCACCCAACUCGUAAGGGUUCACAGUUCGGAAUUGGUUGUGGCUGUUUCCAUGGAGAUGCUCUGCUUAUCACUCAGCCUCUUGACCAGAGUGGCGAGAGGAGACUGAAGUACUUUGCGUGAGAGGCGCAUCCUGCCGUCCUUGGGGUCCCGUCCAAAAUAUUUCAACUGCAGAAGAGUGGACUGGACUGACGAACACAACACAACAACAUGACAAACACUGGAGGAGAUGAAAGCAUAACGAGAGCACUACACAUCUCCUUGAUGAAGUCCUGCGCCUCGCUCAGCGCUCCCGGUGUGGGAGCAAAGAUGGAAAAUGUCUCCUCAUCUAUCUGACUGAUGGUCACGCCUUCAAGUGACAACAACAAAUGUCCUGAACUUAACGCAACACUUCUUAUCUGAGGUACAGCGUCGUUACCUGUUUGAGCUUGUAACCGUCGAAGGUUGUAACCUCCCGGUCCGAUGAAGAGAGCCCGCCUGGACACGGGCACGCGCACCUCCUCUGAAGAAAAACGGAUACGGAUGAAUAAUUUAAUAUACUGGGGUGGAAAAGGAAUUUCAAUCCAAAACUCACCAACGACCGGGCCGUUCGCCUUCCUGCUCGACCUGGGCUUUGCCAGACUUUUGUUCAUGAUCCCCAAGAUCUCCCGCUUUGCAACUAAAAUGUAAUUUUUGCCAAAUUAAACCAGCAGAAAAAUGUAUUUAAAAAAUAAUGAAUACAAAAUGACAAAUAAAUGCUAAAAAGACUGCAGUACCUGUGGCUUGUUGGAUGGCUUCCAUGACCACCUUGAGAGGUAAACCGGGAAUCUUCACAUCUGCCUGGAAAGAGAUGACUCAGGAGAGUUUUCAUCAGAACAAGGACGAGUGCGCUACAGCAUACUACAGGCUUAAGUCUGUGAUAAAGAGCGCUCAACUGGCUAACUCGUACCAUACAGCAACAAUACGAUCACAAUUUAUAAGCCCGCCCACAUCAAGACAAAAAGAUGCACGCAACGAGCUAACGGUGGAUUUCGGUUCAAAAAGUACGAAAGCUGUACCACAUACAAACAGGAAGGAUUGUCUGAGGAGUGAUUUGUUCUAGGAUUCAAUGUAAUUAUUAUAUUUUUUGUACCAUGCAUGCAUUUUGAAACGUUGUGAGAAAAAAAACAGAGAAAUUAGCCGCUAAGGCAUUGGCAUCAUAGUUCACAAUAUUUACUAGGGAUGUCCCGAUCCAGGUUUUUGCACUUCCGAUCCGAUACCGAUAUUGUUUUGCACUUCCGAUCCGAUACUGGCCGAUACCGAUACCGCACUAUCUGAGCAUGUGUUAAAGUUUAAAGUUAUUUACCCUCCUUACUUAGUUGUCAGACUCAUGUUGAAAAGAGUUUUAGUACUCUUGAUAACAACUAGCCAGCUGAAUUAGGUGAGUUUGAAUAACACACAACGGUUGGUAACAAGAAACUGACCUGUUUAUUCAAUGACAAACACAAAACAUUAUAAAUAACAAACAGAAAUGGCAUAGUCAGUCAGUAAAACGUGCAAAUAAUAUUGUAAACUGUCUUA
Molecule: long non-coding RNA, 1833 nt
Organism: Corythoichthys intestinalis (scribbled pipefish)
Lineage: Eukaryota; Metazoa; Chordata; Actinopteri; Syngnathiformes; Syngnathidae
Exons: 4
Source: RefSeq, a predicted model, not a curated record